This is a non-coding RNA of Pelobates cultripes (western spadefoot toad), 449 nucleotides long. The record is from the annotation of a GenBank genome assembly. NCBI's taxonomy places the organism in Eukaryota, Metazoa, Chordata, Amphibia, Anura, Pelobatidae.
CUCUGAUAGCGACCAACAAGGGGAACACAAUUUCAAUCACCUCUCCCCUUGACGUCCCGCCAUUCCUAGACUGGACUUUGCCCCAGCCAAACCAAGACCCCACAAACCUCCCGCAACGCCAACACUGGCUUACACCAGCAAAUAAGAGAAGAAACGAACAACGGUUCCUAUCACCCCAACAAAGACAAAGAGGCACCCAGGAAGAAAACUACAGACAACGAUCUGACCACUAAGCAUGAGGGGAACCUCUAGAGGAUAUUAGUCCUACCAUCCUUGAUAAAACAUAUCCUGGAUAACCCUAUUAUAUCCCACCUUAAUGAUAGGACCCAUUUAAUCCUACGGAGAUCUCUAUAUCAAACUGACUUUCCACACACAAUGUUGCAUUGUCGCUUAGACGGAACUAACCAAUUUAACUACCAACGGCCACUAACUGCACCACACCACUCAUU